Molecule: ribosomal RNA, 566 nt
Filed under: uncultured archaeon
Lineage: Archaea
Description: bacterial SSU rRNA
Rfam family: Archaeal small subunit ribosomal RNA
Source: RNAcentral
UAACCGGUACGGGCCGUGAGAGCGGAAGCCCGGAGAUGGAUACUGAGACAAGGAUNNCAGGCCUUACGAGGCGCAGCAGUUGCGAAAACUCCACAAUGCACGAAAGUGUGAUGGNGGCUACCCCGAGGUGCCGUCCGCUGAGGAUGGCUUUUCUCUGCUGUAAGGAAGCGGAGGAAUAAGGAGAGGGCAAGUCUGGUGUCAGCCGCCGCGGUAAUACCAGCUCUCCGAGUGGUAGGGAUGAUUAUUGGGCUUAAAGCGUCCGUAGCCGGCUUGACAAGUCUUCUGUUAAAUCCAGCAACCCAANNAAAAAAGGACUGCGGAAGAUACUGCCUAGCUAGAGAACGGGAGGGGUCGACGGUACUCUCAGGGUAGGAGUGAAAUCCUAUAAUCCUGGGAGGACCACCAGUGGCGUAGGCUGUCGACUAGAACGUGUCUGACGGUGGGGGACGAAAGCUUGGGGAGCGAACCGGAUUAGAUACCCGGGUAGUCCAAGCUGUAAACGAUGCGGGCUAGGUGUUGGGGUGGCUACGUGCCACUUCAGUGCCGCAGGGAAACCGNUAAGCCCG